CUACGUGCCAGCAGCCGCGGUAAUACGGAAGGUCCAGGCGUUAUCCGGAUUUAUUGGGUUUAAAGGGAGCGUAGGCGGAUUGUUAAGUCAGCGGUUAAAGGGUGUGGCUCAACCAUGCAUUGCCGUUGAAACUGGCGAUCUUGAGUGCAGACAGGGAUGCCGGAAUUCGUGGUGUAGCGGUGAAAUGCUUAGAUAUGACGAAGAACUCCGAUUGCGAAGGCAGCUGACGGGAGCGCAACUGACGCUGAAGCUCGAAGGUGCGGGUAUCGAACAGGAUUAGAUACCCUGGUAGUCCGCACAGUAAACGAUGGAUGCCCGCUGUUGGUACCUGGUAUCAGCGGCUAAGCGAAAGCAUUAAGCAUCCCGCCUGGGGAGUACGCCGGCAACGGUGAAACUCAAAGGAAUUGACGGGGGCCCGCACAAGCGGAGGAACAUGUGGUUUAAUUCGAUGAUACGCGAGGAACCUUACCCGGGCUUGAA
Molecule: ribosomal RNA, 480 nt
Filed under: uncultured bacterium
Lineage: Bacteria
Description: bacterial SSU rRNA
Rfam family: Bacterial small subunit ribosomal RNA
Source: RNAcentral